RNAcentral lists this ribosomal RNA (1397 nucleotides) under uncultured bacterium. RNAcentral's name for it is "partial 16S ribosomal RNA". It matches the Rfam family "Bacterial small subunit ribosomal RNA". The record is from RNAcentral.
AGAGUUUGAUCAUGGCUCAGGAUGAACGCUAGCGACAGGCUUAACACAUGCAAGUCGAGGGGCAGCGAGGGCGUAGCAAUACGCCUGUCGGCGACCGGCGCACUGGUGAGUAACACGUAUGCGACCUGCCCCCUACAGGGGUAUAACCCGUAGAAAUGCGGACUAAUCCCCCAUAGUCCCGCGGGCUGCAUGGCCUGCGGGGGAAAGGGUUUCCGGUAGGGGAUGGGCAUGCGGCGCAUUAGCUAGUUGGCGGGGCAACGGCCCACCAAGGCGACGAUGCGUAGGGGUUCUGAGGGGAAGACCCCCCACACUGGGACUGAGACACGGCCCAGACUCCUACGGGAGGCAGCAGUGAGGAAUAUUGGUCAAUGGGCGGAAGCCUGAACCAGCCAUGCCGCGUGAAGGACUAAGGCCCUAUGGGUCGUAAACUUCUUUAGACGCAGAGCAAUAAGGGUCUCGUGAGAUCCGAUGAGAGUAUGCGUAGAAUAAGCAUCGGCUAACUCCGUGCCAGCAGCCGCGGUAAUACGGGGGAUGCGAGCGUUAUCCGGAUUUAUUGGGUUUAAAGGGUGCGUAGGCGGAAGUGCAAGUCAGCGGUGAAAUCCCCGCGCUCAACGCGGGAGUUGCCGUUGAUACUGUACAUCUGGAAUGCUCUUGCCGUGGGAGGAAUGAGUAGUGUAGCGGUGAAAUGCAUAGAUAUUACUCAGAACACCGAUUGCGAAGGCAUCUCACGAAGGGGCGAUUGACGCUGAGGCACGAAAGCGUGGGUAUCGAACAGGAUUAGAUACCCUGGUAGUCCACGCAGUAAACGAUGAUGGCUAACUGUCGGGUUUUAGGAUUCGGCGGCCAAGCGAAAGCGAUAAGCCAUCCACCUGGGGAGUACGACCGCAAGGUUGAAACUCAAAGGAAUUGACGGGGGCCCGCACAAGCGGAGGAACAUGUGGUUUAAUUCGAAGCAACGCGAAGAACCUUACCAGGUCUUGACAUCGUGCGCAUAGUAUAGAGAUAUAUGAAGUCCUUCGGGACGCAUAGACAGGUGGUGCAUGGUUGUCGUCAGCUCGUGUCGUGAGAUGUCGGGUUAAGUCCCUCAACGAGCGCAACCCUUACGAUUAGUUGCUACGCAAGAGCACUCUAAUAGGACUGCCGUUGACAAAACGGAGGAAGGUGGGGAUGACGUCAAAUCAUCAUGCCCCUUAUGACCUGGGCUACACACGUACUACAAUGGUGAUCAACAGAGGGAAGCAAAACGGCGACGUGGAGCAAAUCCCUAAAAGUCAUCUCAGUUCGGAUCGCAGGCUGCAACCCGCCUGCGUGAAGUUGGAAUUGCUAGUAAUCGCAGAUCAGAAUGCUGCGGUGAAUACGUUCCCGGGCCUUGCACACACCGCCCCUAAGGGCGAAAU